This 1000-nucleotide ribosomal RNA is filed under the name Enterococcus faecium. RNAcentral describes it as "bacterial SSU rRNA". It matches the Rfam family "Bacterial small subunit ribosomal RNA", at positions 486 to 1477 of the family's 1533-position model. The record is from RNAcentral. Lineage: Bacteria; Bacillati; Bacillota; Bacilli; Lactobacillales; Enterococcaceae.
AGAAGCAGGGCCUAACUACGUGCCAGCAGUCGCGGUUAUUACGUAAGUUGCCAGCGUUGUCCGACUUAUUGGGCGUAAACGCGAGCGCAGCCGGUUUCUAAGUCCUGAUUGUGAAAGCCCCCCGCCUCCAACCGGGGAGGGUCAUUGAAACUCGCGAGACUGAGUGCAGCACGACGAGACGUGGAACUUCCAUGUGUAGCGGUGGAAGUGCGUACGAUAUAUGGAGGAACACCAGUGGCGACGGCGGCUCUCUGGUCUGUAUCUGACGCUGAGGCUCGAAAGCGUGGGAGCAAACAGGAUCAGAUACCUUGGUAGUCCACGCCGUAAACGAUGAGUGCUAAGUGUUGGGAGGGUUUCCGCCCUUCAGUGCUGCAGCUAACGCAUUAAGCACUCCGCCUGGGGAGUACGACCGCAAGGUUGAAACUCAAAGGAAUUGACGGGGGCCCGCACAAGCGGUGGAGCAUGUGGUUUAAUUCGAAGCAACGCGAAGAACCUUACCAGGUCUUGACAUCCUUUGACCACUCUAGAGAUAGAGCUUCCCCUUCGGGGGCAAAGUGACCGGUGGUGCAUGGUUGUCGUCAGCUCGUGUCGUGAGAUGUUGGGUUAAGUCCCGCAACGAGCGCAACCCUUAUUGUUAGUUGCCAUCAUUUAGUUGGGCACUCUAGCAAGACUGCCGGUGACAAACCGGAGGAAGGUGGGGAUGACGUCAAAUCAUCAUGCCCCUUAUGACCUGGGCUACCCACGUGCUACAAUGGGAAGUACAACGAGUUGCGAAGUCGCGAGGCUAAGCUAAUCUCUUAAAGCUUCUCUCAGUUCGGAUUGCAGGCUGCAACUCGCCUGCAUGAAGCCGGAAUCGCUAGUAAUCGCGGAUCAGCACGCCGCGGUGAAUACGUUCCCGGGCCUUGUACACACCGCCCGUCACACCACGAGAGUUUGUAACACCCGAAGUCGGUGAGGUAACCUUUUUGGAGCCAGCCGCCUAUAGCUGCAAACGAUGCCA